Molecule: ribosomal RNA, 431 nt
Filed under: uncultured bacterium
Lineage: Bacteria
Description: partial 16S ribosomal RNA
Rfam family: Bacterial small subunit ribosomal RNA
Source: RNAcentral
AACGAACGCUGGCGGCAGGCCUAACACAUGCAAGUCGAGCGCCCCGCAAGGGGAGCGGCGGACGGGUGAGUAACGCGUGGGAAUACGCCCUUUGCUACGGAAUAGUCUCGGGAAACUGGGGGUAAUACCGUAUACGCCCUUUGGGGGAAAGAUUUAUCGGCGAAGGAUUAGCCCGCGUUGGAUUAGGUAGUUGGUGGGGUAAUGGCCUACCAAGCCGACGAUCCAUAGCUGGUUUGAGAGGAUGAUCAGCCACACUGGGACUGAGACACGGCCCAGACUCCUACGGGAGGCAGCAGUGGGGAAUCUUAGACAAUGGGGGCAACCCUGAUCUAGCCAUGCCGCGUGAGUGAUGAAGGCCUUAGGGUUGUAAAGCUCUUUCAGCUGGGAAGAUAAUGACGGUACCAGCAGAAGAAGCCCCGGCUAACUCCGUG